CCUACGGGCGGCAGCAGUGGGGAAUAUUGCACAAUGGGCGCAAGCCUGAUGCAGCCAUGCCGCGUGUGUGAAGAAGGCCUUCGGGUUGUAAAGCACUUUCAGCGGGGAGGAAGGCGUUAAGGUUAAUAACCUUGUCGAUUGACGUUACCCGCAGAAGAAGCACCGGCUAACUCCGUGCCAGCAGCCGCGGUAAUACGGAGGGUGCAAGCGUUAAUCGGAAUUACUGGGCGUAAAGCGCACGCAGGCGGUCUGUCAAGUCGGAUGUGAAAUCCCCGGGCUCAACCUGGGAACUGCAUUCGAAACUGGCAGGCUAGAGUCUUGUAGAGGGGGGUAGAAUUCCAGGUGUAGCGGUGAAAUGCCUAGAGAUCUGGAGGAAUACCGGUGGCGAAGGCGGCCCCCUGGACAAAGACUGACGCUUAGGUGCGAAAGCGUGGGGAGCAAACAGGAUUAGAUACCCGAGUAGUC
RNAcentral lists this ribosomal RNA (465 nucleotides) under uncultured Klebsiella sp. RNAcentral describes it as "bacterial SSU rRNA". It matches the Rfam family "Bacterial small subunit ribosomal RNA", at positions 338 to 795 of the family's 1533-position model. Lineage: Bacteria; Pseudomonadati; Pseudomonadota; Gammaproteobacteria; Enterobacterales; Enterobacteriaceae. The record is from RNAcentral.